This 76-nucleotide non-coding RNA is filed under the name unclassified sequences. RNAcentral describes it as "HTH-XRE RNA". It matches the Rfam family "HTH-XRE RNA". The record is from RNAcentral.
GAUCAGCACUGUUGGGGCAGAUAAAUUCUGUAACGGAACUCCCAACUGGAAGACUUGCAAAGGUGAUUCCCUUUCC